UGUAAACACUCUGUUACRAUCCCAUGAAACAGACUUAUAGUCAGAAAUUAAUCUAACAAUUUAAUACCUAUCCCUUGAGAGAGCAUGGUAAUUCGUAACAGCAUCUCUUGCAAAGCUCGCUUGCUUUCAAGCCUGUGGUAAAUAAUUCGCGUAGCCUCCUCGAGUUCUGCCAUAGCCACGGAGAUCUGCAGCAAUUUGUCUCUUUCCUGAAGAAAAUAAUAUUUGGAUGGAUUUUGUUCCUCUUGCCUCAGGAUCUCAAAGCCCUUUGUGGUUGCAAGGAUAUAUUUAUGCCUUCUAGAUGAAACAAUGUGUGGUGCUAUGAACAUCUUCCAGCUUACCAAGACUUGAUGUGGCAGACACCUAAAAUGACGGUCAGAAAAACCUCUAACUUUUUCAGCUUGCUUCCUGUCGAUGUCCUUCAGAAUGAUGGAGAGCUGCUA
This 440-nucleotide long non-coding RNA is filed under the name Apteryx rowi (Okarito brown kiwi). Its description in RNAcentral is "lncRNA (ENSARWG00000009423.1)". The record is from RNAcentral. Lineage: Eukaryota; Metazoa; Chordata; Aves; Apterygiformes; Apterygidae.